RNAcentral lists this ribosomal RNA (253 nucleotides) under uncultured bacterium. RNAcentral's name for it is "partial 16S ribosomal RNA". It matches the Rfam family "Bacterial small subunit ribosomal RNA", at positions 524 to 776 of the family's 1533-position model. The record is from RNAcentral.
GACGAACCGUGCGAACGUUGUUCGGAAUCACUGGGCUUAAAGGGCGCGUAGGCGGGCCCGCCAGUCCGCGGUGAAAGCCCCCAGCUUAACUGGGGAAGUGCCGUGGAUACUGCGGGCCUGGAGGAGGGUAGGGGCAUCUGGAACGCUGGGUGGAGCGGUGAAAUGCGUUGAUAUCCAGCGGAACUCCGGUGGCGAAGGCGAGGUGCUGGACCCUUUCUGACGCUGAGGCGCGAAAGCCAGGGGAGCAAACGGG